GACGAACGCUGGCGGCGUGCUUAACACAUGCAAGUCGAACGGAAAGGCCCUGCUUUGGUGGGGUGCUCGAGUGGCGAACGGGUGAGUAACACGUGAGUAACCUGCCCUUGACUUUGGGAUAACCCUAGGAAACUGGGGCUAAUACCGGAUAGGAGCUCCUGCUGCAUGGUGGGGGGUGGAAAGUUUCGGCGGUUGGGGAUGGACUCGCCUCUUAUCAGUUUGUUGGUGGGGUAGGCGCCUACCGAGGCUUGGACGGGUCGCCGGCCUGAGAGGGUGGCCGGACACAGUGAGUGUGAGAUGCGGCACAGACUCCUACGGGGGGGAAGAGUGGGAUAUAGUACACUAUGGGCGGGAGCCAGAUGGAGAAGCGCCGCGUGCGAGAUGACGGCCUUCGGUGUGUAAUCCGCUUGCGCCUGUGACGGCGCGUUAGUGACGGUAAUGGGUAAAGAAGCACCGGCUAACUACGUG
RNAcentral lists this ribosomal RNA (468 nucleotides) under uncultured bacterium. RNAcentral's name for it is "partial 16S ribosomal RNA". It matches the Rfam family "Bacterial small subunit ribosomal RNA", at positions 28 to 507 of the family's 1533-position model. The record is from RNAcentral.